Molecule: ribosomal RNA, 253 nt
Filed under: uncultured bacterium
Lineage: Bacteria
Description: partial 16S ribosomal RNA
Rfam family: Bacterial small subunit ribosomal RNA
Source: RNAcentral
CACGUAGGGUGCAAGCGUUGUCCGGAAUUAUUGGGCGUAAAGGGCUCGUAGGCGGUCCGUCGCGUCGGGAGUGAAAACUCGGGGCUCAACCCCGAGCCUGCCUUCGAUACGGGCGGGCUAGAGGUAGGUAGGGGAGAACGGAAUUCCUGGUGUAGCGGUGGAAUGCGCAGAUAUCAGGAGGAACACCGGUGGCGAAGGCGGUUCUCUGGGCCUUACCUGACGCUGAGGAGCGAAAGCGUGGGGAGCGAACAGG